This 160-nucleotide non-coding RNA is filed under the name Thermaerobacter marianensis. The record is from RNAcentral. Lineage: Bacteria; Bacillati; Bacillota; Clostridia; Eubacteriales; Clostridiales Family XVII. Incertae Sedis.
GGGGAAGACCGGUGCAAGUCCGGCGCUGUCCCGCAACGGUAACCGGCCGCGCCGGCCGCGAAGCGGCCACCCCGGGCUGGUCGAUGACGCGUCCGCCGUCAUGCAGCCCCAUCGACCGGCCGCUUCGGCGAGCUUGGACGAGCCGGAAGCCCGAGUACCC